RNAcentral lists this small nuclear RNA (160 nucleotides) under Helianthus annuus (common sunflower). RNAcentral describes it as "U1 spliceosomal RNA". It matches the Rfam family "U1 spliceosomal RNA". From Rfam's summary of the family: U1 is a small nuclear RNA (snRNA) component of the spliceosome (involved in pre-mRNA splicing). Lineage: Eukaryota; Viridiplantae; Streptophyta; Magnoliopsida; Asterales; Asteraceae. The record is from RNAcentral.
AUACUUUUCUGUUUACACAAAACAUUAAAUUAAGAAGGUCCAUGGCCUAGGUUGGUGACCUCCAUUGCACUCAGGAGGGGUGCCCGCCUAAGGUCGGCCCAAGUGGUCGAGCCUACGUCAUAAUUUGUGGCAGUGGGGGCUUGCGUUCGCGCAGCCCUUG